GCUUAGAGAGGGGUCGAUGUCCUAUCAGCUAGUUGGUAGGGUAAUGGCCUACCAAGGCGAAGACGGGUAGCCGGCCUGAGAGGGUGGUCGGCCACACUGGGACUGAGACACUGCCCAGACUCCUACGGGAGGCUGCAGCCGAGAAUCUUUCGCAAUGCCCGAAAGGGUGACGAAGCGACGCCGCGUGUGGGAAGAAGGCCUUCGGGUUGUAAACCACUGUCGGGAGUUAGGAAAUGUAAGGGUGCAAAUAGUAUCCUUACUUGACUAAGGCUCCGGAGGAAGCCACGGCUAACUCUGUGCCAGCAGCCGCGGUAAUACAGAGGCGGCAAGCGUUGUUCGGAAUUAUUGGGCGUAAAGAGCACGUAGGCGGCCUUAUAAGUCAGUUGUGAAAGCCUUCUGCUUAACGGAAGAACAGCAUCUGAUACUGCAAGGCUAGAGUGCGGAAGGG
This 448-nucleotide ribosomal RNA is filed under the name uncultured Planctomycetota bacterium. Its description in RNAcentral is "bacterial SSU rRNA". It matches the Rfam family "Bacterial small subunit ribosomal RNA", at positions 217 to 656 of the family's 1533-position model. Lineage: Bacteria; Pseudomonadati; Planctomycetota. The record is from RNAcentral.